CAGUUUGGGUAUCAUGUAAUCGAGCUUGUUCAUAUAAAAAUUUAUAAUAAAUUACCUAUAUGAACUUGUAAGGGAUUGAAGGAUCAGAUCCAUCUGCAAUUCCUUUUGUAUCUCGAGCCUGAGCUUUUCAAGCUCCUCAAUGACCUUGAUCACUAUCAUGCAGUAAUCAUGGACUGACUGUCCUUCAUGCAUCUUCAUAUUGAAAAAUCUUUGGCCACC
Molecule: long non-coding RNA, 219 nt
Filed under: Elaeis guineensis (African oil palm)
Lineage: Eukaryota; Viridiplantae; Streptophyta; Magnoliopsida; Arecales; Arecaceae
Description: long non-coding RNA (EGUI_LNC063095)
Source: RNAcentral